AGCAGCCGCGGUAAUUCCAGCUCCAAUAGCGUAUAUUAAAGUUGCUGCAGUUAAAAAGCUCGUAGUUGAAUUUCGGGAUCAAUAUGUUGGUCGUGCCUCGGUACGUACUAGCUUAUUGGUUUCUCCCUUCUGAUGAACCAUGAUGUCAUUUAUUUGGUGUUAUGAGGAAUCAGGACUGUUACUUUGAAAAAAUUAGAGUGUUUAAAGCAGGCUCACGCUUGAAUACAUUAGCAUGGAAUAAUGAAAUAGGACGUUUGAUUCUAUUUUGUUGGUUUCUAGGAUCGACGUAAUGAUUAAUAGGGAUAGUUGGAGGCAUUAGUAUUCAAUUGUCAGAGGUGAAAUUCUUGGAUUUAUUGAAGACUAACUACUGCGAAAGCAUUUGCCAAGGAUGUUUUCAUUAAUCAAGAACGAAAGUUAGGGGAUCGAAGACGAUCAGAUACCGUCGUAGUCUUAACCAUAAACUAUGCCGACUAGGGAUCGGAUGAUGUUGAUUUUUUAAUGACUCAUUCGGCGCCUUACG
This 520-nucleotide ribosomal RNA is filed under the name uncultured Glomeraceae. RNAcentral's name for it is "SSU rRNA". It matches the Rfam family "Eukaryotic small subunit ribosomal RNA", at positions 569 to 1092 of the family's 1831-position model. Lineage: Eukaryota; Fungi; Glomeromycota; Glomeromycetes; Glomerales; Glomeraceae. The record is from RNAcentral.